Long non-coding RNA from Pungitius pungitius (ninespine stickleback), 295 nucleotides. RefSeq lists it as uncharacterized. The record is from RefSeq and is a predicted model, not a curated record. Lineage: Eukaryota; Metazoa; Chordata; Actinopteri; Perciformes; Gasterosteidae. The transcript is spliced from 3 exons.
UCGCAAUAAAUGCAAGUGAUGUUCUCCUGCAGCCUGAGGGAAUUGAAGAUGGUUGCUUCCAACACUAGGUGGAGCUCCUCCACGCAAGGUAUCUCAACCCCUGGGGUCAACCUCCCACGGUGACCUGCAGGAGUCACCACUGCAGGUAGACUCAACCCACCCAGACCCAAACCAGGAAGUCAGGGGUGAACAAAACAACCCCAAAAAGACAAAAAAAAAAGGUCCCGUCGCAGACCAACUUCGCCCAGGAGUCGCAGGGAGCCAGAGUCCUCCACCGCCGGUCCUCAGGCACGUU